Molecule: non-coding RNA, 111 nt
Organism: Acanthosepion pharaonis
Lineage: Eukaryota; Metazoa; Mollusca; Cephalopoda; Sepiida; Sepiidae
Source: the annotation of a GenBank genome assembly
GGGCCAUAUCACGUUGAAACAACAGUUCUCCUAUGAUCACCGAAGUUAAGCAAUGUUGAGCCUGGUGAGUAUCUAGAUGACUGAUCGCUUGGGAAUACCAGGUGCUGUAAG